Non-coding RNA from Cricetulus griseus (Chinese hamster), 558 nucleotides. The record is from RefSeq and is a predicted model, not a curated record. Lineage: Eukaryota; Metazoa; Chordata; Mammalia; Rodentia; Cricetidae.
ACAGAGGCGCGGAUUCGUUUGUUCCUGUUGUGGCUUCCCCUAGCGGUGCCGCGGUUGCUGUGUCUUCCUCCAGGCUACCGGCCUGCGGGCACAGGCAGCACCUCCGUCAGCUCCUGAGGAAGAAACCCUUGAGCUGAGGAAGGAGUGAUAGUGAAGCGCGUCGCCUGAGCCUCUCUACCUUGGACGCGAACCGCACUGACCCACAAAAGGAUUCCUGUCUGGUUACAGAGAAGUGACUUUGUUAAAGGAGUGAAGGGCUUUAUAACUGCGUUAACGUAUAACCCAAGAACUGACAUGACGCUUGAGGACAUCUUUACUUGAAGAUGUAGCAACAUCUCCGGGCGCUCCGAAAAAAAAGAUGCCGUGGUCACCUUUAUUGCUGAAGGCCGAUGCUGACUUGAAGAGUAGUCUGGAACAAGGUUCAUAUAUCUAUCCAUCCAGUAGUCACAACCUGGGCAUGGAGAGCACCUCUGAGACUGGCUUUGGAAACAGGAACAGAUUUUAUUUAUUAUGUAUACAACAUUCUGCUUCCAUGUAUAUCUGCACACCAGAAGAGGG